AUGAACGCUGGCGGCGUGCCUCAUCCAUGCCAGUCGCGCGAACAGAUAAGGAGCUUGCUCCUUUGACGUUAGCGGCGGACGGGUGAGUAACACGUGGGCAACCUACCUAUAAGACUGGAAUAACUCCGGGAAACCGGGGCUAAUGCCGGAUAACAUUUAGAACCGCAUGGUUCUAAAGUGAAAGAUGGUUUUACUAUCACUUAUAGAUGGACCCGCGCCGUAUUAGCUAGUUGGUAAGGUAACGGCUUACCAAGGCAACGAUACGUAGCCGACCUGAGAGGGUGAUCGGCCACACUGGAACUGAGACACGGUCCAGACUCCUACGGGAGGCAGCAGUAGGGAAUCUUCCGCAAUGGGCGAAAGCCUGACGGAGCAACGCCGCGUGAGUGAUGAAGGUCUUCGGAUCGUAAAACUCUGUUAUUAGGGAAGAACAAAUGUGUAAGUAACUGUGCACGUCUUGACGGUACCUAAUCAGAAAGCCACGGCUAACUACGUG
RNAcentral lists this ribosomal RNA (496 nucleotides) under uncultured bacterium. Its description in RNAcentral is "partial 16S ribosomal RNA". It matches the Rfam family "Bacterial small subunit ribosomal RNA", at positions 29 to 507 of the family's 1533-position model. The record is from RNAcentral.